RNAcentral lists this ribosomal RNA (253 nucleotides) under uncultured bacterium. RNAcentral describes it as "partial 16S ribosomal RNA". It matches the Rfam family "Bacterial small subunit ribosomal RNA", at positions 524 to 776 of the family's 1533-position model. The record is from RNAcentral.
UACGAAGGGGGCUAGCGUUGUUCGGAUUUACUGGGCGUAAAGCGCACGUAGGCGGAUCGUUAAGUCGGGGGUGAAAUCCUGGAGCUCAACUCCAGAACUGCCUUCGAUACUGGCGAUCUUGAGUUCGGGAGAGGUGAGUGGAACUGCGAGUGUAGAGGUGAAAUUCGUAGAUAUUCGCAAGAACACCAGUGGCGAAGGCGGCUCACUGGCCCGAUACUGACGCUGAGGCACGAAAGCGUGGGGAGCAAACAGG